CUUUGUGGUUGUGUGGUGAGAGUGGCGAACGGGUGAGUAACACGUGAGUAACCUGCCUUUUUCUUUGGGAUAACGCUCAGAAAUGGGUGCUAAUACUGGAUGUUCUGCGCUUUCCGCAUGGGGGGUGUGGGAAAGGGGCCUUUGUGGUUUCUGGAGGGAGAUGGGCUCGCGGCUUAUCAGCUUGUUGGUGGGGUGAUGGCUUACCAAGGCUUUGACGGGUAGCCGGCCUGAGAGGGUGGGCGGUCACAUUGGGACUGAGAUACGGCCCAGACUUCUACGGGAGGCAGCAGUGGGGAAUUUUGCACAAUGGGGGGAACCUUGAUGCAGCGACGCCGCGUGAGGGAUGGAGGCCUUCGGGUUGUGAACCUCUUUCGCUCGUGUGCAAGCCGCUAUUUGGGUAGUGGUGAGUGUAGCGGGUAAAGAAGCGCCGGCUAACUACGUGCCAGCAGCCGCGGUAAUACGUAGGGCGCGAGCGUUGUCCGGAUUUAUUGGGCGUAAAGGGCUUGUAGGCGGUUUGUCGCGCCUGUCGUGUAAUCCUCUGGCUUAACUGGGGGUGUGCGGUGGGUACGGGCAGGCUUGAGUGCGGUAGGGGAGAUUGGAAUUCCUGGUGUAGCGGUGGAAUGCGCAGAUAUCAGGAGGAACACCGGUGGCGAAGGCGGGUCUCUGGGCCGU
RNAcentral lists this ribosomal RNA (672 nucleotides) under uncultured Actinomycetes bacterium. Its description in RNAcentral is "bacterial SSU rRNA". It matches the Rfam family "Bacterial small subunit ribosomal RNA", at positions 77 to 737 of the family's 1533-position model. Lineage: Bacteria; Bacillati; Actinomycetota; Actinomycetes. The record is from RNAcentral.